AAAUAAUUCACUUUUUUAUGGUUUUAUACAAAUUUUCCAUUUGAUUUGGUUCUAUUUUCUAUUCAAAACCAUUAUUUUUCACAUAAAAAAUAAUAAUAAACUGGCAAUAAGUGUGGAUAAAGUUUGGCUACACAUCAGGUUGUUUCAAGAACUUCUUCGAAUUUGUGUGGUAUGGAUGCAAGAUCCCAUAUGCUUCCAACUGGUUUGGUUGUGGUCCCAUCGUUUAUUCUGAAAUUCCAGCUUGAACGAAGAAAAUUACAAUAACACAAAAUAGCACCAGAACUUAUUUCGCUCCAAAUUGUACCCACACUCGAUUUACAUAUAUCAAGCUAAACCAUAUGGAAAAAAUUCAGUGAAUCGUAUGAAGAAGAUUACAGUUGUAUUAGAUUGAAAAUAUUCGAUUUGCGGAUGAACUUAAACUUUGGGUACCAAACAACUUCAGAGUUUCUCAAGGAAACUCUUAUUUUUAAAAUGUGCUUUCCACUCUUGAAAAAACCAAACAGUUUGGUCAAUGUUAGAAUAUCUGGUCUUAAUUUUGUU
Molecule: long non-coding RNA, 540 nt
Organism: Harmonia axyridis
Lineage: Eukaryota; Metazoa; Arthropoda; Insecta; Coleoptera; Coccinellidae
Exons: 2
Source: RefSeq, a predicted model, not a curated record